GGAUUAGAAUACUGAACUAAACUCACCCACUCCAACAUGCAGUUACCCGUGAAGGUCCGGAUUAGAAUACUAAACUAAACUCACCCACUCCAACAUGCAGUUACCCGUGAAGGUCCGGAUUAGAAUACUGAACUAAACUCACCCACUCCAACACGCAGUUACCCGUGAAGGUCCGGAUUAGAAUACUAAACUAAACUCACCCACUCCAACAUGCAGUUACCCGUGAAGGUCCGGAUUAGAAUACUGAACUAAACUCACCCACUCCAACAGCAGUUACCCGUGAAGGUCCGGAUUAGAAUACUGAACUAAACUCACCCACUCCAACAUGCAGUUACCCGUGAAUGUCCGGAUAGAAUACUAACUAAAACUCACCCACUCCAACA
Haliotis rubra (blacklip abalone) is the source of this 383-nucleotide long non-coding RNA. RefSeq lists it as uncharacterized. Lineage: Eukaryota; Metazoa; Mollusca; Gastropoda; Lepetellida; Haliotidae. The record is from RefSeq and is a predicted model, not a curated record. The transcript has 3 exons.